CACUAUCGUUAACUGAAUACAUAGGUUAACGAGGCGAACCGGGGGAACUGAAACAUCUAAGUACCCCGAGGAAAAGAAAUCAACCGAGAUUCCCCCAGUAGCGGCGAGCGAACGGGGAGCAGCCCAGAGUCUGAAUCAGCUUGUGUGUUAGUGGAACGGUCUGGAAAGUCCGACGGUACAGGGUGAUAGUCCCGUACACCAAAAUGCACAGGUUGUGAACUCGAAGAGUAGGGCGGGACACGUGGUAUCCUGUCUGAAUAUGGGGGGACCAUCCUCCAAGGCUAAAUACUCCUGACUGACCGAUAGUGAACCAGUACCGUGAGGGAAAGGCGAAAAGAACCCCGGCGAGGGGAGUGAAAAAGAACCUGAAACCGUGUACGUACAAGCAGUGGGAGCACCUUCGGGUGUGACUGCGUACCUUUUGUAUAAUGGGUCAGCGACUUAUAUUCUGUAGCAAGGUUAACCGUAUAGGGGAGCCGCAGGGAAACCGAGUCUUAACUGGGCGUUAAGUUGCAGGGUAUAGACCCGAAACCCGGUGAUCUAGCCAUGGGCAGGUUGAAGGUUGGGUAACACUAACUGGAGGACCGAACCGACUAAUGUUGAAAAAUUAGCGGAUGACUUGUGGCUGGGGGUGAAAGGCCAAUCAAACCGGGAGAUAGCUGGUUCUCCCCGAAAGCUAUUUAGGUAGCGCCUCGUGAACUCAUCUUCGGGGGUAGAGCACUGUUUCGGCUAGGGGGUCAUCCCGACUUACCAACCCGAUGCAAACUACGAAUACCGAAGAAUGUUAUCACGGGAGACACACGGCGGGUGCUAACGUCCGUCGUGAAGAGGGAAACAACCCAGACCGCCAGCUAAGGUCCCAAAGUCAUGGUUAAGUGGGAAACGAUGUGGGAAGGCACAGACAGCCAGGAUGUUGGCUUAGAAGCAGCCAUCAUUUAAAGAAAGCGUAAUAGCUCACUGGUCGAGUCGGCCUGCGCGGAAGAUGUAACGGGGCUAAACCAUGCACCGAAGCUGCGGCAGCGACACUAUGUGUUGUUGGGUAGGGGAGCGUUCUGUAAGCCUGCGAAGGUGUGCUGUGAGGCAUGCUGGAGGUAUCAGAAGUGCGAAUGCUGACAUAAGUAACGAUAAAGCGGGUGAAAAGCCCGCUCGCCGGAAGACCAAGGGUUCCUGUCCAACGUUAAUCGGGGCAGGGUGAGUCGACCCCUAAGGCGAGGCCGAAAGGCGUAGUCGAUGGGAAACAGGUUAAUAUUCCUGUACUUGGUGUUACUGCGAAGGGGGGACGGAGAAGGCUAUGUUAGCCGGGCGACGGUUGUCCCGGUUUAAGCAUGUAGGCUG
This 1335-nucleotide ribosomal RNA is filed under the name Klebsiella pneumoniae. RNAcentral describes it as "partial 23S ribosomal RNA". It matches the Rfam family "Bacterial large subunit ribosomal RNA", at positions 146 to 1527 of the family's 2925-position model. Lineage: Bacteria; Pseudomonadati; Pseudomonadota; Gammaproteobacteria; Enterobacterales; Enterobacteriaceae. The record is from RNAcentral.